Molecule: long non-coding RNA, 830 nt
Organism: Numida meleagris (helmeted guineafowl)
Lineage: Eukaryota; Metazoa; Chordata; Aves; Galliformes; Numididae
Exons: 3
Source: RefSeq, a predicted model, not a curated record
CAUACCAAAUGCUAUGAAGAAAAUCAAGUCCGUCCCAGCUGAAACCAGAAUCCAUGGGUACCAAAGAGGAGGACGAAGGUCUACUGCACUGAUAGAACUGCACCAUUCAUACUGGCUGCUGGCUUGGAGAGUGGGGGAGUUGACAUAGUCAACUGCUGAAUAUGUCUGAGACGUCUUCUACAAACAGCAUAUGGAUUCUUCUCCUCAUUUCCUCUCCCUGCUUGACUAAUUAAGUGUGGACAGGAGGUUCUUCUAGAGUUUUAGAAGCUGGAUAAUGCUUUAUGUUCUUCUGCCUGCGACAUGGAUCUUGGCAGAACAUCAUGGGAAGAGAAGAUCUAUUACAAGCAUACACUGAAUUGUGAGUUUAUCCCACGUGAAAAGGUUACUUCAAUGACAUUUGUGAGUAGGAACAAAACUAAAGAAAGAACAUGUUAGAGGUACAGCUCAUGAUAACAAGCAGUAUUUUUGCAGAUAUGCAGGAUCUAAGUGAUAGCUACUCACUUGGAGCUGAGCCACACUGGCCUAAUGGAUGUCUUAUUCCAUAUGGUGUCAUACUCAGCAAUAAGACUGGACAAGUUGGCUGUGGGGACUGCUGCUGGUUGGGGACUGGCUGGGCAUUGGCUGGUGGGUGGUGAGCAAUUGCAUCACUUGGUUUAUGUGCUUGUUUAUCACUGUUAUAAUUAUUUUCCCUUUUUCUGUCCUAUUAAACUGUCUUUAUCUCAACCCAUGAGUUUUACCAUUUUCUGAUUCUCUGAGCAAACCCACUGAGGGGAGCAGUGAGUGAAUGAAUGUGUGAUACUGAGCUGCCUUCUGGGUUAAACCAUGGCAAU